UUUUCUAUUCAUUCUCUCAACCAAAAAUUAUACUAAUAAAAUUUCUGUGAUUUAUUCAUCGUCCAUGUUUUUAGUAACAUACUUCUGUGUUAUUUUCUAAAUUAGAUUACAUAUGAAAACACACUAUUUAGCUCCAUUUAAUUACAAUCAACUCAUCUUUUUAGGCAAAUGGGAAAAACUAGGAGUCAUAUAGCGAUAGUUAAUGCGUUUUGUAAAUAUAAUUAACUCUUUUGGGAUUGCGAAUAGAUAAGCUAAAACUCUUGGACGAAACAUAAUUUUAAUUAUUUAAAAAAAGACUGACAAAAAAAACAACCUGUCUUCAUGUUCUUGGUCAUCUACAGGAGCAAAAUAGUUUAAGCGGAGGAUCUUGGUUUUUAGUUAAUGAUUGAGUUCACUUAAUUUCAUGUGUCAUCUUUAUCGCUUCUGCAUUUUUUUUUUUUUGAACUACUAUCGGUUCUGCAUUCUAUAUUAUUUUCGUAUGUUAUUAUUAUCAUCUAAUAAGUAAAAGGGGAAUACGCUCAGCGCUCAGACGUCCACGUCGGAUGAAAUAAUCAGCCAAUCCCGUUGCAUCUUUCGUCCACGUCUUUGCUACGUUGGGCUUCAUUACGAUGGGCUUCGUUGUUAUGUUUUAUUUUUGUUAUGUACCUGGCCCAUAAGCCCAUAAGCUUGGCCAAACGGAGAACACCGUAUCGAGCCUCCACGAACCCUAGCCUUAUUUCUCUUACGCAGACCGCAUCGAGCCUCGACGAACCUCGACGAACCCUAACUUCAUUCUCCCUUGCGCAGACAAAUAUCUCAUCCCUUUCGUCUUUCCCACUUCUUCCGUUUAACGGUUUCGUCUGUUCAUUCACUCCUUCAUCAAAUCCUCAUUAACCUCCAUUAAUGGAUCCCUUUCGCAUCCCUCACUCUGAUUUCUUUUAUAACCCCAAUCAUCCCACCAGUUUGAUUCCCCGCAAAACUAUCUUCUCUCCCGAUGAAUUCCAACAGCAAAAACUCCGCAUCCGGCGAUCUUAUCUCCAAGAAACCUAACGGGAAGGACGUUGUCUCCUCCGCCGCACCGGUCAAACCCUCCGCCGCAUCGAUGAAACCCUCCGCCGCGGCGAUGAAAAUCUCCGCCGCACCGACGAUCCCCUUCGCCGCAUCGAUGAAACCUAUUGGCCAAUCCGGUGUCUCCGGUGAUUCCUCUUCGACAAAACGUCACGGCAAGGCCGUUGUCUGCUCCGAUGUCCCCUCUGACAACAGCGAUCGCGUCGUGUUCUUCAAAGAUGUGACGUUUGGACCACAAGAACACGAGUUGAGAUUUCGACUGAUCCAUUUUUGGGAGGCAAAACACGCAUUCUCGAAGAUACUUAUGGGUCUAGAGAUGCUUCUGGUCGACGCAGAGGGCACUGUGAUUCAGGGAUUCAUCCCACCAUCAAGGAUGGACACUUAUCUACGACACAUGAAGCCCGGUUCCACCUACAGACUUACCAAUUUUUUUGGUUCUAAGACCAAGAAGGUGUACCGGGUUGCUGAUCCAGACGUGACCAUUGCGUUCUCAUGGAAGUCUGUCCUCUCCGAUCUCACAGACACUUCGGCUUGGUUUCCUGAAGACCGUUUUCGUUUCCAUGGUUAUGAACAGUUCGAAGCGGCCUGUGACCUCAAAGGGGAUCUGUAUGAUUUUAUUGGUCAUAUCAAAUUGGUGAAUGAGCAGGCUCUUAACGAGAGUUUUGUGCUUGAUGAAGUCGAGAUAGCUUCUGAUCGGCGAAUUUUGGUUCAUGUUCAGACACAUGAUGGUCCUGUGAUGAAGCUCUACAUAUGGGACAAGGUAGCAACAGCCUUUUGCGAGAAGUUUAGAUCGCUUGGAAAACCUCCGAGUGUUAUCAUGGUGACAACUGUGAAUCCUAAGCGUUUAGGAGGUGCUUUGUCUCUGUCAUCUCUAUCAUCUUCACGGGUUUUUUUUGAUACGGAUGUUCAUCAAACCAGGGAGUAUCUGGCUUGGUAUGUAUUCAUCUAUAUAUUUGCACCGUUUACGUUAAUCUACCGACUGUGUUGCUUAUUUUGUUUUUUGAACAUUUCUAGGCUUGAAUCAAACUCGGAAGUUGCUAAUAGAGUUAAUGCUGAGAUUGUCACCAAGGCUGAGACAGCUACAAUCGGUGAGCUACUCACUUACAUGAAGCAGGAAGGAGCGAAGGUUGCUUGGUUCGAGUGUACGGCCACCAUUGAUGAUGUUGUGCGUGGCUCAGCUUGGUACUACAUUGCUUGUGGUGGAUGCAAGACUAAAGCUACUAAAGGACCUACCACGCUUAUGUGUAGGAAGUGUGGAAAGACUGAGAUUACUGGUGCUGCAGAGUAUCUCAGCAAGCUAUCUGUCUAUGACAACAAUGAUCAUGCGAGCUUUGUACUUCUCGGUGACGCUGGGUUUGAGUUAACUGGGAAGAAAGCAUCUGUAUUGGUUGAGAGUUACUAUGAGGUAUGGGAAGGUGUUCAAGACGAACAUAAUAGGGACACCAAUCAUAAUAUCAACCGAUGCAGAAGUUAACAAAGUGGUGCUCCAAAACCAUGGGAACACAUUUGUCCCUGCAUACCCUAAAUCAAUCACUGAACUACUUGGAGAAAACUCUAUUCUCAGCAUCAAUGGAGCUCAUCAAAAGAGGCUACACACUCUCAUUAGCGCGUUCCUUAGAUCCCCUCACCUCAAGGAGAGGAUCACUCGAGACAUUGAGGCCUCGGUUGCUCUCACUUUAGCUUCUUGGUCUCAACUUCCCUUGGUUCAUGUCCAAGAUGAGAUCAAAAAGAUGACGUUUGAGAUACUAGUAAAACUGCUGAUGAGCAUAUCUCCUGGUGAAGAUUUGAAUAUUCUUAAACUAGAGUUCCAAGAAUUCAUCAAGGGUUUGAUUUGUAUCCCCAUCAAAUUCCCUGGCACUAGACUUCAUAA
This is an RNA transcript of Brassica napus (rape), 2917 nucleotides long. It is a transcript of the gene named 3-epi-6-deoxocathasterone 23-monooxygenase CYP90C1, with no coding region annotated. Lineage: Eukaryota; Viridiplantae; Streptophyta; Magnoliopsida; Brassicales; Brassicaceae. The transcript is spliced from 9 exons. The record is from RefSeq and is a predicted model, not a curated record.